Molecule: long non-coding RNA, 483 nt
Organism: Gossypium arboreum
Lineage: Eukaryota; Viridiplantae; Streptophyta; Magnoliopsida; Malvales; Malvaceae
Exons: 2
Source: RefSeq, a predicted model, not a curated record
UGCAUCCCACAUUUAAAUCAAAAGAAAUCUCAAUUCUAAAAAUCAAUUUUUUAGGGCUUCUUUUGCUUAACUGCCGAACCACCAUGAUUUUGGUGAUCACCAGCAAGCAUGCAGUACCCAAUCUCACUGUUGAAGAAGCUCGGCCAGGCUUUAAAGGAUUUGGGAUGGCCGUACAGAGGAGAUGACCCCGGGUGACAUGGAGGCCGAGCGCGAGGGUCUCUCGUGUAAAGCUGAUCCUCUGGUUUAUUCCAGAAUAUUCUAGCAUUCUCUAGCUGCUAACAUUAUUUUUGGGUGUAUUGGUCUUGGGGUAAUGGGUUAUUUGGGCUAAUUUUUAUUGGGUUUAGGGAUUUGGAAUUUGGGUAUCUGUUCAAUUGGGUCAGACUUUAUGUAACCGGGUUAAGGGUUUUGGGGUAUUUGGUUAGAAAAUGUAUUUGGGCUACUUUUUUUUUUGAUGGUAUGUAAAAUUUGGACAUUCAUUAUAAA